AUGGCCGGAGGGUCCGUCGCGCGGCUUUAAUAUAGAGGCCGUGAGGAAAGUCCGGGCAACGCAGAGCGCCAUAUGUGCUAACGGCACGCUAUCGGUAACGGUAGAGUAAUGUGACAGAAAAUAACCGCCAGCGUCGUUCCCGUACCGGGAAGCGGCGCAGGUAAGGGUGAAAAGGUGCGGUAAGAGCGCACCGGGCGCGUCGGUAACGGCGCGUGCCGCACAUCUUAUGGGUUGCAAGGUCAAGUAUACCGGCAUUCAAGGGUUGCUCGCCCAUUGCCGGGGGGUAGACUGCUCACGCGCUCCGGAGGCUUCGGCCCUCGGAGUUCAGAUAAAUGACAGACGGCGUCGCGG
This 351-nucleotide RNase P RNA is filed under the name Muribaculaceae bacterium. Its description in RNAcentral is "partial RNase P RNA component class A". It matches the Rfam family "Bacterial RNase P class A", at positions 1 to 330 of the family's 367-position model. From Rfam's summary of the family: Ribonuclease P (RNase P) is a ubiquitous endoribonuclease, found in archaea, bacteria and eukarya as well as chloroplasts and mitochondria. Its best characterised activity is the generation of mature 5'-ends of tRNAs by cleaving the 5'-leader elements of precursor-tRNAs. Lineage: Bacteria; Pseudomonadati; Bacteroidota; Bacteroidia; Bacteroidales; Muribaculaceae. The record is from RNAcentral.